This 829-nucleotide long non-coding RNA is filed under the name Phoenix dactylifera (date palm). RNAcentral describes it as "long non-coding RNA (PDAC_LNC017803)". Lineage: Eukaryota; Viridiplantae; Streptophyta; Magnoliopsida; Arecales; Arecaceae. The record is from RNAcentral.
UGGUUAAUUUCAAAAUACAUUGUCUAUCGUGAAAUCCUCACAGAAGUCCACCAUUUCUUAGUCUUCUUCUCCCUCGGGAUCAAUGUGUGUCUCAUUUAUGGAGCCUCUCACUUGUUUAAGGGAAGUCGACCUCCAAGAGGAGCCCAUCACCUAUGUCUGUAUCAAGCUCAAUGAUGCCAAGAGAAGCUAUACUAUGUAUACAGCAGUUUGUACACUAAUUAUAAAUCCUGAAGAACAAGAGCAACUAUUUAAUGAUACAUGGAGUUUGUGCUCCUUCAGAUGAAGUCCCUUGAUCAUCUGAACUCCCAAAGGAAGGUCAUUUACAAGAAUAGAAAGUGAAACAAUUUUUUGUACAAAUAUACUUUAAAUCUUUUUUCCCAACUCGAGUGUUUGAAACAAAGUUACUAAUAUUUUCAGGUGAUAUUAUAGCUAACAGUGAAGUUACGACCUAAAUAAGAAAAAAGAAAAAUACAGCUUUUGUGCCCGAGAUUGUUACCUUUUGGCCCGCCUGCAUUUCUUUAUGGAGAGGAGGCAGAAGUUGUUCCAUUGGCUUAAGUACCAGAAGCAUGAGGUUAUCUGUUUGGCUAAAAAUACUAGCAACUUGGAUACUAUAUUUAGUGAACUCAACUCUAGUAAUUGUGUGAGGACCCAGCAUGUUUAGUUCCACAUCGGUUAUUUGCUAGAUAAAUCUUAGAUACUCAGAUCUUAAAUAGGAAAAGUAUGUGAGGACCUAUGCGAGCGUUUGUUUAGUCCCAUAUUGAUUAUUCGUUACAGAGAUCUUGUGCAAGAUUGACUGUUGAAGAACCCAAAAAAUACUUUCUGGUGAGGC